GAUUCUGGAGGUGCUGAGAGACCCCAAAAUCUUCAUUUGUUGAAGUUUUUCGGAUUUCUGAGAAUCUCUUCUUCUCUUUUUUCCCCUCUUUUCCCUCCUUUUUUUUUCUCUUUAUUUCUCUUUUUCCCUCUCUUUUCCCCUCCCUUUUUCCCUCCUUUUUUCCUCUUUUCUCUCCUUUUUUUUUCUCUUUUUCCCUCUCUUUUUUCCCUCUCUUUUCCCCUCCCCUUUUCUCUUUUCCCUUUUUUUUCUCUCUUAUUUCUCCUUUUCCUCCUUUUUUUCCCCUCCCCUUUUUCUCCUUUUUUUCUUCUUUUUCCCUCUCUUUUUCCCUCCUUUUUUCUCCUUUUUUUUUCCUUUCCCUCCUUUUUUUCUCUUUAUUUCUCUUUUUCCAUCUUUUUUCCCUCUCCUUUUCCCUCCUUUUUUCUCUCAUUUAUUUCUCUUUUCUCUCCUUUUUUUCCCUCUUUAUUUCUUUUUUCCCUCCCUUUUCUCUCCCUUUUCCCCUCCCUUUUCCCUCCUUUUUUCCUUUUCCCUCCUUUUUUUCUCUUUAUUUCUCCUUUUCCCUCCCUUUUCCCUCCUUUUCUUUUUCCUCCUUUUCUCUCAUUUUUUUUCUCUUUAUUUCUGCUUUGUCCCAUUUCCCUUUUUCCCCUUUUCCUCUCUGUUUCUCUCAUUCCAGCUCCAGCUCUCUUCCAUGAAGACCCCAGGGCCCCUCCCCUCCCUCCCGCGCUCUCUCUGCUGCGUUCGCUCGGAUUUGCCCUGGGAUCCCAAAAUUCACAGUUUCCACCCCAAAUUCUGCAUCUUCCAUCCCCAAGUCUCAGAUUUUCCACCCCAAAUUCGGGAUUUUCCACCCCAAAUCUCAGAUUUUCCCUGGAAUUCCACCCCAAAUUCCAGAUUUUCCACCCCAAAUUCCAGAUUUUCCAUCCCAAAUUUCAGAUUUUUCCCUGGAAUUCCAUCCCAAAUUCGGGAUUUUCCACCCCAAAUUUCAGAUUUUUCCCUGGAAUUCCAUCCCAAGUUCCAGAUUUUCCAUCCCAAAUUUUGGAUUUUCCCUGCAAUUCCAUCCCAAACUCUCCGUUUUCCCUGAAAUUCCAUCGCCAAUUUUGGAUUUUCCACUCCAAACUCUGGAGUUCCCCUGGGAUCCACCCCAAGUUCGGGAUCUUCCACUCCAAAUUCUGGAGUUCCCCUGGAAUUCCACCCAAACUUUGGAUUUUCCCUGGAAUUCCCUCCCAAAUUCCGGAUUUUCCCUCCCAAAUUCUGGAUUUUCCCUCCCAAAUUUUGGAUUUUCCCUGGAAUUCCCUCCCAAAUUCCGGAUUUUCCCUCCCAAAUUCCGGAUUUUCCCUGGAAUUCCCUCCCAAAUUCGGGAUUUUCCCUCCCAAAUUCCGGAUUUUCCCUCCCAAAUUUUGGAUUUUCCCUCCCAAAUUCUGGAUUUUCCCUGGAAUUCCCUCCCAAAUUCCGGAUUUUCCCUCCCAAAUUCGGGAUUUUCCCUCCCAAAUUUUGGAUUUUCCCUCCCAAUUCCCUCCCAAAUUCCGGAUUUUCCCUCCCAAAUUUUGGAUUUUCCCUCCCAAAUUUUGGAUUUUCCCUCCCAAAUUCCAGAUUUUCCCUGGAAUCCCACCCCAGAUUCCCUCCUUUCCCUGCAGUUUCCAUCCCAAGAGAGGGAAAAUGAGGAUUUUCCCCCCAUUUUGGUGUCAGUUUCCCUUUGGUGGAAUAAAUGUAGAGCUGGACCAUUCCUGCUGCCUGUGCUGCUGA
This is a long non-coding RNA of Camarhynchus parvulus, 1737 nucleotides long. NCBI's taxonomy places the organism in Eukaryota, Metazoa, Chordata, Aves, Passeriformes, Thraupidae. The record is from Ensembl.